RNAcentral lists this ribosomal RNA (253 nucleotides) under uncultured bacterium. Its description in RNAcentral is "partial 16S ribosomal RNA". It matches the Rfam family "Bacterial small subunit ribosomal RNA", at positions 524 to 776 of the family's 1533-position model. The record is from RNAcentral.
UACGGAGGAGGCAAGCGUUAUCCGGAAUUAUUGGGCGUAAAGCGUCCGCAGGUGGCACUUCAAGUCUGUCGUCAAAGACUGGGGCUUAACCCCAGAAAGGCAGUGGAAACUGAAGCGCUAGAGUGCAGUAGGGGUAGAGGGAAUUCCCGGUGUAGCGGUGAAAUGCGUAGAGAUCGGGAAGAACAUCGGUGGCGAAAGCGCUCUGCUAGGCCGCAACUGACACUGAGGGACGAAAGCUAGGGGAGCGAAUGGG